This 615-nucleotide non-coding RNA is filed under the name Pongo abelii (Sumatran orangutan). The record is from RNAcentral. Lineage: Eukaryota; Metazoa; Chordata; Mammalia; Primates; Hominidae.
CCUGGCAUGACUGCUUCUAACAGCAACAUUUCAUUAAGUUUUUAAGUGCCUGGCAAUUGCUUGGUUACAACCGGCGUCUGCUCCAUGGCAGCCUCUUCCUGAAGAAAUGCUGAUGCAGUGUCAUGCUGGUGUGUGUCCUCCUUACAGAAUGCCUGAACAGUUCCAUUGACUCAAAGUGAAGAUCAAAAGAACCAAAUGACAGCAAUAGCUAAGUGUAAUCAUCAGUAACCCUGUGUUCUAUCCACGGGCUGGAGUGCAGUGCCAUAAUCAUAGCUAUUGCAGCCUCGAACUCCUGGGAAGAAGAAAUUUUCCCACCUCAGCCUGCCGAGUAGCUGGGACUACAGGUGUGUGCCACCAGGCCCAGCUGUUUUUUAACAUUUUUUUUUUUUUUUGUGGAGGUGUGAAUUAGCUAUGCUUCCCAGGCUUGUCUUGAACUCCUGACUUCAAGUAAUCCUCCCACCUUGGCUUGUCAACUCCUGGGAUUCCAGGUGUGAACUACUGCUCCUGGCUGAGAGUUGACUUUUGUUUGCUAAUGGUGUUCUUGGUAUCUUUUCAUAUUUGAGGCUUUGGUUUUAGUGCUAAAGUAUUACACUCACCAUCCAAGGUUUACAGGAC